CAAUUAGUACCCUAAACCUGCCUCUCUUUAUCAAUGGAGCAUACCCAAGGGCUUUCACCCUAUGGCCACAUUACAAAUAACAAAGGACACUGAAAAAUCCCGAUUCCUAGCUCUCAAAAGUUUAGAUUUACAUCCAAAUUAACAGCCAACAAGAGAACUGACGAUUCUUUCACUCCCUGAGCCCUGGGUGUAAGACUACUGGAGAGUUUGGUUUGUAUGGCCCAGGUGGAACCCAUCUCAUUUCAUAGGAAGGUCAUAUAAGAAUAAUAAGAGCGACUACAUUGAGUGUGUAGGUAUGUAUAUAUACACACAUCUCUAA
This 319-nucleotide long non-coding RNA is filed under the name Pan troglodytes (chimpanzee). RNAcentral describes it as "long non-coding RNA NONPTRT002051". Lineage: Eukaryota; Metazoa; Chordata; Mammalia; Primates; Hominidae. The record is from RNAcentral.